Molecule: ribosomal RNA, 500 nt
Filed under: uncultured bacterium
Lineage: Bacteria
Description: bacterial SSU rRNA
Rfam family: Bacterial small subunit ribosomal RNA
Source: RNAcentral
UGGCUCAGGAUGAACGCUGGCGGCGUGCUUAACACAUGCAAGUCAAGCGGAGAUUGUUAAAUGAGAGCUCGGCAGGAAUUUAACAAUCUUAGCGGCGGACGGGUGAGUAACGUGUGGGCAACCUGCCCUGUACUGUGGAAUAAUCACUGGAAACGGUGACUAAUACCGCAUGUCAUUGCGAGAGGGCAUCCUCUUGCAAGAAAAGGAUUUAUUCGGUACAGGAUGGGCCCGCAUCUGAUUAGCUAGUUGGUGAGAUAACAGCCCACCAAGGCAACGAUCAGUAGCCGACCUGAGAGGGUGAUCGGCCACAUUGGGACUGAGACACGGCCCAAACUCCUACGGGAGGCAGCAGUGGGGAAUAUUGCACAAUGGGCGAAAGCCUGAUGCAGCAACGCCGCGUGAAGGAUGAAGGGUUUCGGCUCGUAAACUUCUAUCAACAGGGACGAAAAAAUGACGGUACCUGAAUAAGAAGCCCCGGCUAACUACGUGCCAGCAGCUGC